RNAcentral lists this long non-coding RNA (676 nucleotides) under Brassica napus (rape). Its description in RNAcentral is "long non-coding RNA (BNAP_LNC022650)". The record is from RNAcentral. Lineage: Eukaryota; Viridiplantae; Streptophyta; Magnoliopsida; Brassicales; Brassicaceae.
AAUCAUCCUCUUCUUCUUCUUUCAAACCCUCGUUCAUCUCCCACUGUAAGUUACAAUUCAUACGUGUUUUUCUUGUGUUCAUAUAUCCCUCUAUUUCUUAUAAGUCAAAAACUAAAUGACACAUUAAGGCAAAAAGUUCUUUCUAAAUUUCACAGCCUCAUGUCUUCUAUAUAUGCAAAAGCAAAUGAUGACACUUUACAAUUUUGAAACUAUGUGAUUCUCACAUUCGACUCCACACCGUCUACUACCCCCACUACUCCAUUGUACUAAUAAAUGUAUUUCUUCUUUAUCCAUUUACAAUUUUAAAUCAUAACAUUUUUUGAUUCAGUAGUGAUUCUUAAUUACUAGAUCUUCUGAUAUUCUCUUUUUUUUUUUUUUUUCCAGGAGCAGUUAUCAGUUUAAGAACACCGUCAAUAGAAGAACAUAUAAUGAAGGAGAAGAAAAAUAUUGACCGAAGAAUUCUCAUGUGGAGAUUUAACAUUUUUUUUACCAUUUUUCUUUUGCUGAAUUCAUCCUCUUCAUGUUUUUGGAGGCCUUCUAUAUCUUCUUUUUUUUCAUAUUGUAUCUUCAUUGGAAUGAAGAAAAAGAAAAAAAAAAGUAAUGAAAAAAUCUUUUAAUUGAUUUAUUUCUUGACAUAAAUGUAUAGAUCGAUAUUAAUAAAAAAAUACUUAAGAAC